This 554-nucleotide non-coding RNA is filed under the name unclassified sequences. RNAcentral describes it as "ROOL RNA". It matches the Rfam family "ROOL RNA". Rfam says of the family: Firmicutes, Fusobacteria (1 example), Tenericutes (1 example). Environment (Cow rumen (57)) The record is from Rfam by way of RNAcentral.
UUGAAAAUUAAAUAGUAUUUGCAACUCGGUGAAGUCACCUUGCUGGUGGCCGAGGCCUGACCACAAGAGUCUUCUAUAUGGGAUACUGUAUAGAAGGUGAGACCUAAUAAUAGGUAUUCACUUUUAAUUAAGUGCUGUGGCUGGUGUCGCAGAUGGUUCUUCGAUGUAAAUGAUGGAGUGUGUGGGGGCGACAAGAAGCUCUGCAGCAAUGCAACUCACGAUAUGAUUAAAGCCUGAGAAACUUUAAUCUACGUUCUCAAAGGAAGCCUAAGAUACUUGACUUGAUGUUCAGUAAUGAACUAUAACCACAUUCCCAGUAUAAGUAGCGAAAUGUCGUAGUAUUGGUACUCUCUAAAAAUUAACUAGUAACGAUCUGCUGAAGCUUCGUGAAAGUUGGAAGAUAAUUAAAUUCUUCCCGUUGUAUCGUUAUAAUAUAUAACCAUUCCAGAAGUAUAUUGGUCGCAACUCUAUACUCAGCCUGGCGUGAACGUGCAUGAACAACAAAUUAGAAUAACAUCUGUAGGAUGAAGGUCCGUAAAUACUAUUAAUUUAGA